RNAcentral lists this ribosomal RNA (301 nucleotides) under uncultured bacterium. Its description in RNAcentral is "partial 16S ribosomal RNA". It matches the Rfam family "Bacterial small subunit ribosomal RNA", at positions 509 to 807 of the family's 1533-position model. The record is from RNAcentral.
CAGUCGCCACGGGAAUACGUAGGGUGCGAGCGUUAAUCGGAAUUACUGGGCGUAAAGCGUGCGCAGGCGGUUGCGUAAGACAGGUGUGAAAUCCCCGGGCUUAACCUGGGAACUGCGCUUGUGACUGCACAGCUAGAGUAUGGCAGAGGGGGGUGGAAUUCCACGUGUAGCAGUGAAAUGCGUAGAUAUGCGGAGGAACACCGAUGGCGAAGGCAGCCCCCUGGGCCAACACUGACGCUCAUGCACGAAAGCGUGGGGAGCAAACAGGAUUAGAUACCCGCGUAGUCCCUGUCUCUUAUAC